AGAGUUUGAUCAUGGCUCAGGACGAACGCUGGCGGUGUGCCUAAUACAUGCAAGUCGAACGAUAAGGCCCUUCGGGGUACAUAAGUGGCGGACGGGUGAGCAACACGUAGGAAAUCUGCCUUAAGGAGGGGGACAACAGUUGGAAACGACUGCUAAUACCCCAUAUGUCAUUUGCUGAAAUGCUUAUGAUGAAAGUUCCGGCGCCUUAAGAUGAGCCUGCGUCUGAUUAGCUAGUUGGUGGGGUAAUUGCCUACCAAGGCUAUGACCAGUAGCUGGUUUGAGAGGAUGAUCAGCCACAAUGGGACUGAGACACGGCCCAUACUCCUACGGGAGGCAGCAGUAGGGAAUUUUGCGCAAUGAGCGAAAGCCUGACGCAGCAACACCGCGUGAGCGACCAAGCCCUUCGGGGUGUAAAGCUCUGUCAGUGGGGACGAAUUUUGACGGUACCCACAGAGGAAGCAUCGGCUAACUACGUGCCAGCCGCCGCGGUAAUACA
This 496-nucleotide ribosomal RNA is filed under the name uncultured Gloeothece sp. Its description in RNAcentral is "bacterial SSU rRNA". It matches the Rfam family "Bacterial small subunit ribosomal RNA", at positions 8 to 527 of the family's 1533-position model. The record is from RNAcentral. Lineage: Bacteria; Bacillati; Cyanobacteriota; Cyanophyceae; Chroococcales; Aphanothecaceae.